RNAcentral lists this long non-coding RNA (356 nucleotides) under Capsella rubella. RNAcentral's name for it is "long non-coding RNA (CRUB_LNC003006)". Lineage: Eukaryota; Viridiplantae; Streptophyta; Magnoliopsida; Brassicales; Brassicaceae. The record is from RNAcentral.
AAGAUCAAAGAAUACUACACCUUUGUCUAUGGUUACAUCACCUUUUGAAUUAGGUAUAUUAUCUCAGAAUUCAUAUUUAUUAUUUUAAAUUAUUUUUAUUCCAAAAAUCUUCUUAUUUAAUUUUUAUAUUGGUUAUUUUUGGUGAGGAUGUUAGAGAAGAUGUUACAUUGCUCUCUACAAAUUCAAGAUCUAAAUACUUAAGUUGGAUGGAAAGCAAUUUAAUAGAUGUUGAAGCAAGCAAGUACAAAUAUGAAGAAUUUCCAAGCGGAUUUGUUUGGUGUGGUCAAGAAAAUCAAUGGAAGCAAAGGUCCACAAAAAAAAGAAAAAAACCAAGAAUUCAAAAAGUUUAAUUAAUC